Molecule: unclassified non-coding RNA, 363 nt
Filed under: Hevea brasiliensis (rubber tree)
Lineage: Eukaryota; Viridiplantae; Streptophyta; Magnoliopsida; Malpighiales; Euphorbiaceae
Source: RNAcentral
CCGUCAAUUAUCUGUCCCACUUCUUAACUUGAGGUCAACAUUUCUUGCCUACAAGGCUUGGGAAGUGGAACAAGGGAAUGUUCUAGAUGCUGAAUCAAAUGACAUUGAUGGGAUUCCUUCUCAUGUUGCUUCUGCAUACCAAAAGGCCAUGGAAAUGUGUAAUGCUCGUGUUCAGCAUGAAGAACAAAUUUCUAAAGAGGAUAUAUCUGAAAUUGAAAAACUUCAAAAUUUCAUGAACUACUUAAAAUUUGAAAAGUCAGCAGGUGAUCCAGCCCGGGUUCAGGUUUUGUAUGAACGUGCUAUUACUGAAUUUCCUAUAUCAAAUGAUCUCUGGCUUGAUUAUACUCGCUAUUUGGACAGGAC